CACCUACGGGAGGCAGCAGUGGGGAAUAUUGGACAAUGGGCGCAAGCCUGAUCCAGCAAUGCCGCGUGAGUGAUGAAGGCCUUAGGGUUGUAAAGCUCUUUCACCCACGACGAUGAUGACGGUAGUGGGAGAAGAAGCCCCGGCUAACUUCGUGCCAGCAGCCGCGGUAAUACGAAGGGGGCUAGCGUUGUUCGGAAUGACUGGGCGUAAAGGGCGCGUAGGCGGUUGACCAAGUUGGGGGUGAAAGCCCGGGGCUUAACCUCGGAAUUGCCUCCAAAACUGGUCGGCUUGAGUGUGGAAGAGGGUUGUGGAGUUCCCAGUGUAGAGGUGAAAUUCGUAGAUAUUGGGAAGAACACCAGUGGCGAAGGCGACAACCUGGUCCAUUACUGACGCUGAGGCGCGACAGCGUGGGGAGCAAACAGGAUUAGAUACCCUGGUAGUCCACGCCGUAAACGAUGAGUGCUGGAUGUUGGACGGUUGCCGUUCAGUGUCGAAGUUAACGCGAUAAGCA
RNAcentral lists this ribosomal RNA (511 nucleotides) under uncultured bacterium. RNAcentral describes it as "bacterial SSU rRNA". It matches the Rfam family "Bacterial small subunit ribosomal RNA", at positions 335 to 866 of the family's 1533-position model. The record is from RNAcentral.